RNAcentral lists this ribosomal RNA (253 nucleotides) under uncultured bacterium. RNAcentral describes it as "partial 16S ribosomal RNA". It matches the Rfam family "Bacterial small subunit ribosomal RNA", at positions 524 to 776 of the family's 1533-position model. The record is from RNAcentral.
UACGUAGGGUCCAAGCGUUAUCCGGAAUCACUGGGCGUAAAGCGUUUGUAGGCGGUUUGUUAUGCCGGCUGUGAAAGCCCGCGGCUCAACCGCGGAAGUGCAGUCGGAACUGACAGGCUAGAGUGCUGAAGAGGAUGGCGGAAUGCCCAGUGUAGAGGUGAAAUUCGUAGAUAUUGGGCAGAACACCGGUGGCGAAGGCGGCCAUCUGGGAAGUUACUGACACUGAGGCGCGAAAGCGUGGGGAGCGAUCCGG